Long non-coding RNA from Bactrocera tryoni, 912 nucleotides. RefSeq lists it as uncharacterized. The transcript has 3 exons. Lineage: Eukaryota; Metazoa; Arthropoda; Insecta; Diptera; Tephritidae. The record is from RefSeq and is a predicted model, not a curated record.
UUUUGAAGGAAAAAUUAAAUGCUUUUCGAUUUACAGACGAUCUCCGACGGCACUCAAACAAACAAGGUUCUCUACUGCUGGCUUUCGUGCUUGUUGAAACCUAACAAAAUGGCGACGUUUGAAAAAUGCUGAAUUUUACCCAAAAUAUUGCUCGUUUUUGGAAGGCCAAAAUUCGAUUUUUUUCUGGAUAAAAAAACUGGCGGGUCAUUGUUUAGAAAACUAUAUACCUACAUGGCACAAGCAGAAAUCAAAGACUGAUAGUGAUCGGGAUCAUUUUUUGCCGCCGAAUAACUACUCAAGAAAAUUUGAAAAAUGCUGUUUCGACAAAAACGAGUUUAAGCAGAUAUUCUAGUAUAGAGGCAUGAAUUUCAGAAAAGCCAGUUUCGAGAAAAAGUUCUUUCAGUUCCGCCCGAACCAGUUUGAACAGCGCCGGGUCAACAAAGUAACACACGAAAAUUUUUUGAAAUACCGGUUUGAAAGAAUAUUCCCUUAAGGAUAGAUUGCUGGAGCUGAGAUAUCGAUUUGAAAUUUUAGUAUCUUAUUUUUAAAGUUAUAAUCUUCAUUGCAACUAUUCAUAACAACAGCAAUAAUAUAAGUAUGUACAUACUUUAAGAACAUUUUCAUUACGCAUAUAAGGGUAUUUCAAAAAUGAUUUAAAUAUUCAAUAUUUUUGUAUGCAAGCUCAUGAUGACACACAAAAAUUCGAAACAUAAGUAUAACGUCACUUAAAAUGUAAAACAACGUAUUAUCAAAAAAUUCGAAAUUGAGUUUUUGAUUGCUUACGAUUAACUACAUUAUACUGUAUACACAUACAUAUGUAUCAUAAAGUUUUAAGCUACCGCUCUCUAGUAUAACCAAUAUAUAAGAAAUACAUAACCAAUAUAUAAGCAAUAUAUAACCAAUAUAUAACCA